CCCGGUCUUUGGAGCGCCGUCGAACUACCUCUUCCCAUCCCGAACAGAGUCGUAAAAGGCGGCAGCGGUGACGAUAGUUCCAGCGCAAGCUGGAGCGAAAAUAGCUCAAGGCCGGGA
Molecule: non-coding RNA, 117 nt
Organism: Candidatus Chisholmbacteria bacterium
Lineage: Bacteria; Candidatus Chisholmiibacteriota
Source: Rfam